AUGACAUGAUCCUUUAUUGUCAAUAUGCUUACAUUCCACUAGGGGGAGCCAAAUAUAUAAAUAAGCUUAAGAAUUACGUUGAAGGGGCCAGAAUAGAAGUCUGUGGAAGGUGUGGGAUGGGAGGACAGCAUCAGAAAGAAUUGGGCAAAUCUGUCCCAGGACUAGGUCAGAAAAACGCCUCCCUAGGGAAGGUGCCACCCCGAACACGUGUUUCUGAGAACCCUUACCCGAAAUAAGGAGGCUGCCGAGCGAUACUUGAGGUUGGACCAGAUGAUGUUUUCUUGAGAGAAGCAGAAAACGCCAAGUCGGCCUCCACGCAUUGUGGUGUCUAUGGUGACUCCAGAGUCAGCCACCAACUCAGAGCCUUCAUAAAAUCGUACCCUGCAGACAACACAGCCAGAGGGGCCUCCAUGAAAUCCAACCCGGGGAGACAGCACUCCCUAAGUGGAGUUGGAGGAAUCUGUGGGGACACUUUGGGUUGUCACAGUGGCACUGAGUGAUGGCAGCCCGGGAUGCUGGAUGGCGAGCAAUGCCCUGGAGAGAACAAUCAAAACCUGUCCUGCAUUCCGUACACUUCUGGAGUGUUCCUCAGACACCAGGGUUCCCCAUCCUGCGGUCACAAAAGUCCUGGCAUGUCCUUGGGGACUAUCCUAGGUCAGAAUUGCUCAGGGAAGUGAAGGCUCUGGGAUGCAGAACAGAGAAUGCUUUGCUUCUAGAGCAAGAUUAACUAAGUACCACAUGGGAAAACACAAUAUCUGAAAAAAGAUGAGAGGUCCAGAAGAAAGGGAGAUGAAUGACUUCAAACCGCCAAUACCUUGAGCUGAAUGCCAGGUUCUGCAACUGCUCGGAAUGGGGUGGCUUGCCAAUACGUCUGCUCUGUCUGCUUCCAUCCAUGUGGUGGAUUCCUGGAGCUAUCUUGGUAGCCAAAGAUAAAGCCUGCAUAGUCAUCAUCUGUCUGGGUAUUCACAUGGAAGGUCCCUUCGAAGUCAACUCCAUUAAAAGCUGUGUACCCUGUAGGGACCAGAUAAGAUUAGAACAAUAGACAAACCACACUAGUAGCUGGAAGAAUUCUAUGAGUGGCAACUGAGGCCCUGGACAUACCCACUGCCAGGCCAGGAUCACUGUUCAUGGUCUGUACAAUCUCCAUGCCCUGCAGAGAGAGUUGAGGGAGUUCAGAACAGUCUUGAAGGGGCCAAGUAAUCUUAAGGAAGCUCAAAACCUCAGGCACCAUAUGAGUGAGUGGCCGGUGAUGUCUGACGUCCAUAUAAAGAUUUCAUUAUCUGAAUAGUUGCUCUAUUGUGUUAUGUGCUCAAAGAAAGCAUGUGCUUGUAAAGGUUAAAAAAAAGCUCAAAGCUGAAUGAAAUACGUUUGCUGAGACUGUCACUUAAGCUGAUUGAACAGGCCCUUAACUGGGGAGCAUACAACAUAUACUUCUAAUCAAUGUGACUUGCUCUGUGACUCUGGAAAAUCUACUAAGCCUCUCUGUGCCUGCAUUUCUUAGUUACACAAUGAGGAGGAUAUGCAGAAGGCAGUCUGCUGCAGAGAUCAGAAGUGUGGGUUCUAGGGUCAGACUGCCUGGGUCCCAAUUCCAGUCAGCUACUUACCACAGUGCUACCAUCAUUAAAGCUGCUACAAUCAUGAAAGCUGUAGCAGACAAUUUCAUCCUCUGUAAAAUGGGCAUAAUUGAAGUAGUCUGUCAUAGGGCUGUUGAGGAAUAAGAGCGAUGUGAAGAAUGCCUGGCUCAUUGUCUGCACCCUCUAAACAUGACCUACCACUAUCAGAAGGGCCUCUGUUGAGAGGCAAGGCUGAGCCAUUGCCGCCCAUGUGACACUCACCUGGUUCAGGACCACCCAGUUGGGAUCGAU
This 1865-nucleotide long non-coding RNA is filed under the name Pan troglodytes (chimpanzee). RNAcentral describes it as "long non-coding RNA NONPTRT013522". Lineage: Eukaryota; Metazoa; Chordata; Mammalia; Primates; Hominidae. The record is from RNAcentral.